UUCCUGAUAACUCAGUUGGUAAAGAAUCCACCUGCAAUGCAGGAGACCCCAGUUCAAUUUCUGGGUCAGGAAG
This is a non-coding RNA of Ovis aries (sheep), 73 nucleotides long. The record is from Rfam. NCBI's taxonomy places the organism in Eukaryota, Metazoa, Chordata, Mammalia, Artiodactyla, Bovidae.